ACUCCUACGGGAGGCAGCAGUGGGGAAUAUUGGACAAUGGGCGAAAGCCUGAUCCAGCCAUGCCGCGUGUGUGAAGAAGGUCUUCGGAUUGUAAAGCACUUUAAGUUGGGAGGAAGGGCAGUAAGUUAAUACCUUGCUGUUUUGACGUUACCAACAGAAUAAGCACCGGCUAACUUCGUGCCAGCAGCCGCGGUAAUACGAAGGGUGCAAGCGUUAAUCGGAAUUACUGGGCGUAAAGCGCGCGUAGGUGGUUCAGCAAGUUGGAUGUGAAAUCCCCCGGGCUCAACCUGGGGAACUGCAUCCAAAACUACUGAGCUAGAGUACGGUAGAGGGUGUGGAAUUUCCUGUGUAGCGGUGAAAUGCGUAGAUAUAGGAAGGAACACCAGUGGCGAAGGCGACCACCUGGACUGAUACUGACACUGAGGUGCGAAAGCGUGGGAGCAAACAGGAUUAGAUACCCCUGGUAGGAUAGCG
RNAcentral lists this ribosomal RNA (474 nucleotides) under uncultured bacterium. RNAcentral describes it as "bacterial SSU rRNA". It matches the Rfam family "Bacterial small subunit ribosomal RNA", at positions 335 to 799 of the family's 1533-position model. The record is from RNAcentral.